This 439-nucleotide ribosomal RNA is filed under the name uncultured bacterium. RNAcentral's name for it is "partial 16S ribosomal RNA". It matches the Rfam family "Bacterial small subunit ribosomal RNA", at positions 339 to 795 of the family's 1533-position model. The record is from RNAcentral.
CUACGGGGGGCAGCAGUGAGGAAUAUUGCACAAUGGGGGGAACCCUGAUGUAGCAACGCCGCGUGGAGGAUGACGCAUUUCGGUGUGUAAACUCCUUUUAUAUGUCAAGAAAAUGACGGUAGCAUAUGAAUAAGCACCGGCUAACUCCGUGCCAGCAGCCGCGGUAAUACGGAGGGUGCAAGCGUUACUCGGAAUCACUGGGCGUAAAGGACGCGUGGGCGGGUUGGAAAGUCAGGUGUGAAAUCCUACAGCUUAACUGUAGAACUGCACUUGAAACUUCUAAUCUAGAGUAUGGGAGGGGGAGAUGGAAUUAGUGGUGUAGGGGUAAAAGCCGUAGAUAUCACUAGGAAUACCUAAAGCGAAGGCGAUCUCCUGGAACAUUACUGACGCUAAGGCGUGAAAGCGUGGGGAGCAAACAGGAUUAGAUACCCCAGUAGUC